RNAcentral lists this unclassified non-coding RNA (25 nucleotides) under Mus musculus (house mouse). RNAcentral's name for it is "oocyte_clustered_small_RNA6883". Lineage: Eukaryota; Metazoa; Chordata; Mammalia; Rodentia; Muridae. The record is from RNAcentral.
UUCAGCUUAUACUUCCCACACUGCU